UUUGUCUUCCUCAGCAGUUCUAUCGGUGCAGAGAGGCGGACGAAGGUAGGUUUCUGCCGCUCCCCGGCCACCGCUAGCACCUCAGCUCAUCCCGACGCCUUGAGCUCGUCGCGUCCCCCACUCAUCCGGAUGCGCGGCGACCAAUCCCGACCAACUCUGUUGCGGCCACCCCAACCCUUCCUCUCGGCCGCGCCGCCAUGGUUUCAAGCCAUAAUGGAUCUGCUCCAGCCACGACGGCACCAUGUACCCGUCGCACUGCCACGAAUCCCCGGCCAUAAUCGAUCUGCUCUUGCCUCUGUUGGACCUGCACGCCACUCUGCUAUCCGACCCGUGCCUCCCCGUUGUGGUCUCCCUCAGUUCCUCCAUGGCUGACCCAAGCAGCAAAAGCAGCGCAAGAACAUGGGGAAGAAGGGCAUAUACGGAGGAGGACGAUCUCGCCGCGCAGAAUCGCUGCAAGUAUAGGUCAUGCUCUAAUGCAGCCGCCUCUGGCUCACUGCAGCAUCCUACAUAUCUCUUAUUGUUAUUCAGUGGGACUGCUACUCUGAAAUUCUGAUUCUAUGCUUACAUGCCAUUGAAAUUAUAAGUUGUUUUUUACCAAUCUUCGGAUGAUAUUGGUUACAACAAUAUUAAGCUAUUAUUAAUCUUUCUGCCACUCCAUUCAAUCUUUUAUGCAAAAAAUCUCAAUGGAAAUGAAUUGCAAAUAAUAUUAUACAAUUUGUCACAUCUGAAGGCUGCAAGGGUUCAUCGUCUACUUGGUUUCGUUCUUUGUUUCAGCGGAUCUCUAAGGCGGAGCAAUGUGGACAACUAGCAGAUGAGAAAGCCGGCUAGCAGAUUGCUUGCAUCUGUUUAUGAACUUUUUCUCCAAGACAUUUGUCACCCGAGACUUAACUUGCUGCAUAUUUAGGCGUGGAUUAAACUAUGUUGUAGGUGCGUAUACCAGGACCUUUCGCAUAUUUGACGAUAUGCCCUGGCACAUCUUAAAGGACUAUUUUCCCUUUGAGAUGGAAACGUAAAGACUGCAUGGGACCUCUCUGCUGGGGAAAUAGACCCACACUGGUCUAGAUUAAAGGGGAGAACAAGGGCGAAGGGAACAAUUGGCCAGGAAGUUAUUUGUAAAAAAUGUUAUUGAGAUAAUGAACGAUGCAUCUUCUAUUAUUCUUCCUAUAAAUGCUCAUGGUGAACCUACCCCUGGCUUUGGCAUUUGUUAGGAAUCGUGACAUUUGAAACUGCGGUAUCGUGACAUUUGAAACUGUGGUAUUGUUUGUUGGAAAAAAUAGAGUGCUUUGUUCUCCAAAGAAAAUGCAUACUGUUAGUCUGUAGUUGAAACAAAUUCCCACCAGCAAGAUGUAUG
Lolium perenne is the source of this 1351-nucleotide long non-coding RNA. RefSeq lists it as uncharacterized. Lineage: Eukaryota; Viridiplantae; Streptophyta; Magnoliopsida; Poales; Poaceae. The record is from RefSeq and is a predicted model, not a curated record.